CCUGCUGGCGGCUGCUGCUAUAUGGCUUGGACUUAGGCAUGCAAGUCUGUUGAAAGACGGCGAACUGCUCAGUAACACGUAGUUAAUCUGCCCUAUGGUCAAGGAUAACCUCGGGAAACUGAGGCUAAUACUUGAUAGAAGAUUUUGUUGGAACACUUUUUCUUUGAAACUCGUGCCAUAGGACGAGACUGCGCCUGAUUAGGUUGUUGUUGGGGUAAUGGCCCAACAAGCCGAUGAUCAGUAAGGGCUCUUAGCGGAGUAGCCCUGAGAGGGAAUCUGAGACACUAUUCCCAGCUCUACGGAGUGCAGCAGCUGCGAAUUUUUUACAAUGCACGAAAGUGUGAUAGAGCGAGCCAAAGUGCUUUUCAUACGAAAAGCUUUUCUUUGCUGUAAAAAUGCAGAGGAAUAAGGACUGGGUAAGACUGGUGCCAGCCGCCGCGGUAAUACCAGCAGUUCAAGUGGCAUCCAUUUUUAUUGGGUCUAAAACAUCCGUAGCUUGUUAAAUAAGUCUCUUGUAAAAUCCUAUAUCUCAAGUAUAGGUCUGGCAAGAGAUACUAUUUAGCUAGAGACCGGUAGAUGUAAGGAGUACGCUCAAGGUAAUGGUAAAAUAUGUUAAUCUUGGGUGGACUAACAAUUGGCGAAGGCACCUUACAAGGACGGAUCUGACAGUG
RNAcentral lists this ribosomal RNA (671 nucleotides) under uncultured euryarchaeote. Its description in RNAcentral is "bacterial SSU rRNA". It matches the Rfam family "Archaeal small subunit ribosomal RNA", at positions 13 to 699 of the family's 1478-position model. Lineage: Archaea; Methanobacteriati; Methanobacteriota. The record is from RNAcentral.